This 447-nucleotide ribosomal RNA is filed under the name uncultured bacterium. Its description in RNAcentral is "bacterial SSU rRNA". It matches the Rfam family "Bacterial small subunit ribosomal RNA", at positions 355 to 825 of the family's 1533-position model. The record is from RNAcentral.
UCGGGAAUUUUGGGCAAUGAGGGAAACCCUGACCCAGCAACGCCGCGUGAAGGAUGAAGUAUUUCGGUAUGUAAACUUCGAAAGAAUAGGAAGAAUAAAUGACGGUACUAUUUAUAAGGUCCGGCUAACUACGUGCCAGCAGCCGCGGUAAUACGUAGGGACCAAGCGUUGUUCGGAUUUACUGGGCGUAAAGGGCGCGUAGGCGGCAUGACAAGUCACUUGUGAAAUCUCUGGGCUUAACCCAGAACGGCCAAGUGAUACUGUCGCGCUAGAGUGCAGAAGGGGCAAUCGGAAUUCUUGGUGUAGCGGUGAAAUGCGUAGAUAUCAAGAGGAACACCUGAGGUGAAGACGGGUUGCUGGGCUGACACUGACGCUGAGGCGCGAAAGCCAGGGGAGCAAACGGGAUUAGAUACCCAAGUAGUCCCUGAGCGGGCUGGCAAGGCGCAU